UGGUAGNAAACAGAUUAGAUNCCUUGUAGNCACNCGUAAACGAUGUCUACUAGUCGUUGGGUCCUUGAGACUUAGUGACGCAGCUAACGCAUAAGUAGACCGCUUGGGAAGUACGGCCGCAAGUUAAAACUCAAAUGAAUUGACGGGGGCCCGCACAAGCGGUGGAGCAUGUGUUUAAUUCGAUGCAACGCGAAGAACCUUUACUGGUCUUGACAUAUCUAGAAUCCUGCAGAGAUGCGGGAGUGCUUUCGGGAAUUAGAAUACAGGUGCUGCAUGGCUGUCGUCAGCUCGUGUCGUGAGAUGUUGGGUUAAGUCCCGCAACGAGCGCAACCCUUGUCCUUAGUUACCAGCGGGUUAAGCCGGGAACUCUAAGGAUACUGCCAGUGACAAACUGGAGGAAGGCGGGGACGACGUCAAGUCAUCAUGGCCCUUACGACCAGGGCUACACACGUGCUACAAUGGUAGGUACAGAGGGCAGCUACACAGCGAUGUGAUGCGAAUCUCAAAAAGCCUAUCGUAGUCCAGAUUGGAGUCUGCAACUCGACUCCAUGAAGUAGGAAUCGCUAGUAAUCGCGGAUCAGAAUGCCGCGGUGAAUACGUUCCUCGGGCCUUGUACACACCCCCCGUCACACCACGGGAGUCCUCUACCGUUAGAUCGAUACUCAGACAGUCGUAACAAGGUACCCAC
This 688-nucleotide ribosomal RNA is filed under the name bacterium 21F07-Zb1-2. RNAcentral's name for it is "bacterial SSU rRNA". It matches the Rfam family "Bacterial small subunit ribosomal RNA", at positions 763 to 1503 of the family's 1533-position model. The record is from RNAcentral.